GAGAGUUCAAGAGGGCGUGAAACCGCUUGGAAGCAAACAGAUGGACCUGACGGAGAGUCAUCGGGAUUCAGCCUACUACUGUACCCCAGCCUGCUGUUCGAUCUUAUGACGGACUGGUGGGUCCUGGUGUGCUCAGUGGGUGCAUUUCCUGGUGAUGCGCAUCAGAGCUCGUGACGGUGCUGGAUCUUAAGGCGGAUGUUUGCCGGCCAACCCUGUUGGUGUCCCAACACUGCCUGAAACCGAGUCGCUGCUACGGGGCUUUUGCAGGUGUCCGUUCCACUCUAAGAGGCUGUGUUGCCUGCCCAUACUGCACUGUGGGGCCAUGCUUGCAUGACUUCGCGACCCUUGGGUGAGUUUCCAGUCCAUGUAGAGCAGACACUUUUCUCUGGUGUUUUAGUCAGUCACCCAUCUGACCCGUCUUGAAACACGGACCAAGGAGUCUAACAUGUGCGCGAGUCACUGGGUCGCAAAACCCAAAGGCGUAAUGAAAGUAAAGUCCAGUUCGGCUGGACGACAUGGGACCCCUCCGUUGUCGGGGGGAGCACCAUGGUCCCGUCCAAACUGCAUUGCCAGUUGGGCGGAGAUAGAGCGUACACGUUGGGACCCGAAAGAUGGUGAACUAUGCCUGAGCAGGAUGAAGCC
This 642-nucleotide ribosomal RNA is filed under the name Draconematidae sp. 730_8-1500_A. RNAcentral describes it as "eukaryotic LSU rRNA". It matches the Rfam family "Eukaryotic large subunit ribosomal RNA", at positions 383 to 853 of the family's 3401-position model. Lineage: Eukaryota; Metazoa; Nematoda; Chromadorea; Desmodorida; Draconematidae. The record is from RNAcentral.